GUCUUAAAGAAUUUAAUUUUAAGUCUAAUCUGCCCACUGAUUAUAUUAAAUGGCUGCAGUAAAUUAACUGUACAAAGGUAGCAUAAUAAUUUGUUUUUUAAUUAAAAACUUGUAUGAAAGAUUUGAUGAAAUAUAAACUUUUUUAAAUAAAUUGAUUAAAUUUGUUAUUUAAGUAAAAAAACUUAAAUUUUAUUUAAAGACGAUAAGACCCUAUAGAAUUUAAUUUAUUUAAAUAUUAUAAAAAUAUUUUGAUAAAUUUUAUUGGGGUAAUUAAAAAAUUUAUAAAAUUUUUUUUAUAAGAAACAUUAAUUGGUGAAUAUAAAAAUUUAAAUUUUAAAUAUAAAUAUUAAUUACCUUAGGGAUAACAGCAUAAUUUUUUUUAAAAGAUCAUAUUUAUAAAAAAGGUUAU
RNAcentral lists this ribosomal RNA (409 nucleotides) under Compsobraconoides sp. RNAcentral describes it as "partial 16S ribosomal RNA". Lineage: Eukaryota; Metazoa; Arthropoda; Insecta; Hymenoptera; Braconidae. The record is from RNAcentral.